GUUUCUAUUAGCUCAGAAUCAUGCUCUGUUUCUCUUCACUGACUAUAAAGGCAGCCUGGGGUGACUGGCUCCCAUGGAGGCCUCCAUCGUGCAGAUGCCUAUGUGAGAAGGGCUCUGGUAAAGGUGAACCAACCCUCCAUAGCUUUGAUAAACUUUGACUGCAUCACACCCUGUUGACUUCUGCUUUGGUGACGCAUGGCAAGUGCAGAAGUACUGGUGGGUCAAGGACAAGUCAUGCUCAGGUGACUCCUGCAGAAUGCUACCACAUCACUCAAGCAAUUCAGGCCAUGCACAGAAGAUGGGCACGCUCCCUUCAUAAGUGCUUAUGUUGGGGAUUUGGUGUCCUCUGCUGAGCACGACCUAUCAUCAGCUUGGCGAUGACAAGGUGCAAAUGUUGGCAACCUGAGCCACAAAUCUUAGGGUCUUUUAACAUAUCUCCAGUGGCCAGCACAAACCAAAUGGAAGAACAACGAGAAGACACAGGCAGCAUGAAAUCCACAGACACAGAGCACUAAACCAAAACACCACCACGCUGCUCACACAGAUGUCAAAACAAAGCACAAGCUCUGGGAUUCAUCUUUUGCCAGUUCAGUGCAAACAGUUUGGCUCACAGAAAUUAAGCGAGGAAGUCUAGCUUCAAACACAGCCAGAGAGUGAGCGGGAAUGUGGAUGACAUCCAGCUCUUUUGAACUUGGUUGAUACUCGGACAAAGAGGGACUGAUGGUCACCCAUGAGCUGUGGAGGACAGUGGCGCUUCCCUGUUCAUUGCCAGGGAGCUGGACCAGAUGACCUUUAAAGGCCGACUCAAGAGCCCUUGCAAGGAGACAUAGUCAAACACAAACUCCUAGCUACCAAAGCUUGAGGAUCAUACAGCAAAAUCCAAGCUGAUAUACCCAGUGGGAUUUAUCAUUUAGGGUUUGGCUCCAUCUUAGUUGGGCUCUUCACUGGGCUACUUUCUGGCUCACAGUUGAGUUGACAUCUAUCCAGAUGUGACACUGAUCCAGACCUGCUGCACACAGUCACUGCACAGAGGCAAAAUAGGUGCUCCAGGACUGUGUCUUCACCCGCUAGCUACAGUCAAGUGUUGCUCACCCAAAGUUAACCACGAAAUCUUUCCUGGAGUGACUCUGAGUCUCCUGUGCAGACGAUAGUCUGAAGGGUGGUGACUGAAGACAGUAUCAGCCAAAGAUAUUAUCCAGAAGCAGUUUGCGUUCAAGUGAUCCUGCCAAAAUCACUGUAUGGAAGCUCAGAUAACAGACAACCUCUCUUUCCAAUAGAAGAAAGCCCUUUUUCUUUGCCAGUGAAACUGUGAGACAGACAUUUCAUCAGCUCAGAUCUACUGGCUGCAGUUCAGUCAAUCUGCUCUGGUUCUCGAGGGUAAAAUAACAACCCUUCUGGGUAGAGAGUGCUGUUGGCAAUUGCUUCUGUAUUCCCAUUACUUUUGACUAUUCGUUCUUCCUGCCCUUCCUUUUUCUCAUGCCAUUCUUCUGGGUCUUCCCACUUAUCAGAGAUCACAAGUCUCCUCUGAUACAAUUAUCACAAACUCAGUCCAGAAAAGGUUUCUGCUUUGCAAAGAGAAAGAGGAAAGCCCUAGAUGUUGAACGUAGCCGUACAAUUGCACAGGUGCCUCCAACCUCAGCCAUUAGCUGAUUCUGUGGAUCUGUACUUUGUUGUCUUAGUCACCCCCCCUUAAACUCUCUUAAGGCUCUUUCCAUAUAGAGCUUUGUCUGUCAAGGAAUGAAAGACAAGCCUGGGGAUAUCUAGUUAGAAGGAACAGCAACACGGACCUUGCUGAGUCAUUCUUUUUAGGAAUAAUUUUUCAAUCCUGUUUCUAAAAGCCUGGUGUCUUUUUCUCUACUUGCUGGUGGUAGACAGAACUCUGGAGAACCUCAGUAGGAUUUCAUUCUGUUGUUUAGUCAAUGAUUUGUUUCAACUCCAGAGUGAUCAUGUUGGCUCUUGAAAUGAUGUUGGCACAGUUCUGUGGCUAAAGACCUGAUCUGGCUUAUGCAUCAAGCUCGCUGGGAGAGCCUUGACCCCUUCCUUCACCAUUGCCUCAUAAAAAUAUAGCACAAGCUACAUUUUCUUUCCUCUAGGUUUUCAGAUGCCAUUGGAAUCACAGUCUUGCUUAGGAGAAGUAAGAAAAGUAGAUUUCCCUUGCCACUGUGGCACCGUGGGACAUGGUUUAGCGAGCCUGGUGGGGAUGGUUUGACAGUUAGAUUGGACGAUCCCAGUGGUCUUUUCCAACCUUAAUGAUUCUUUCAUUUGGUGAUUUUAUUUUCACACUAGUUAUAUCACCAGCAAGCUGAACUGACGUCCAGAAUCAAGAGCUGAACUCUCCUUGACACUACAGAAGAAAUCAGUUCUACAAUAAGGAGCUGGCUGUCCUGGUGCUGAAAGUGCUCGGCCUCCACUGGAACAUCCACCAGAGAAUUUGGCUCAAGAGAAAUUGUUGCACAUGAAGAUUUCCGAGCAAUCCUUUCUCACUGCUCUGUUGGAAUGGCUCAUCCAUUGAAGACAACUGUGAGCCCAGAUAUCAAUAAGACCCCUUUUUGUUUUAACCACUGACUACGCACAAACUCCGUACCUCAUCCACAACCUCACCAUCAGAGAAAUAAAAGGAAUAGUGAGUAGAGACUUCAUCCGCUCGGUUCUUUGUUCUGGGCUCAUCUCCAUGUCUUGUAUCCAACAGAUGUUUUCAGACAUGGUAUUGCAAGACGUGAUGCAGAGUUUAUAUCCUCGGCAGACAGGCCAGUUAUUGUUCUCAUAGCAGCAGAUGUCUGAAUCAGCUCAAGCAAGUGAGUUCCUGGGUGACUGCACCUUUCAUUUCUGCUCACCUGUCUUCUGCUUUUCCUCCCAUCUGCACAUCAGCUUGGAAUUAUCUUAAGAUGAAGACCGCCCUCAGCAGGAGCCUGUACAAAGCUCAGCCUAUUUAUAGGCACAUCUCUGCUUGGGACUAUCCUGUGCUACUGUGACACACACAGUAAGCUCUUUAUUAAUAAGUAGAUAAGAAGCUCCUUAGGUCUUAGGUCACUUGUACUGCAUCCCAGUUCGGGAAUUAUCCCACAGGUGAGCUCCCUUUCCAAUCACAUAUGUUCCCACCAGCAACUCCCGCAGUCACUUACACAUGAAAAUAAUAUUAGGAAAACAUUUACUGUAAGCUUUAGCUUAAUUUAGUAGAAUUUAGCAGCUGGAAAUUACAAGGAGGAGCCAGCACCUUGCAAAGAGCCAGCACUCUGCAGACCACCAGCAAGUGCUCCACAGACCUCAGCCUGGAAAGUGAUGAGACAGAUGGAAGUCAUUAUUUUGUUUUGAACAAAAUACCAUCUGGGGCCAACAUUUGCUGUCUGUUACUUCUGAGUGAAUCCAGAGAAACUCCAUCAUGUUCCUUAAUAAUCAGUUCUGGGACCAAUCUUAUUAAAUAUUUUCCUUAAUGAACUUGGCAGAAAAAAGGCAGGCGCCUGGUCAUGAGAUCUGCUGAUGACACAAACUUGAGUGACUGCAUUGCUAUUGCGGAGAAGGAUACAAAUGUGAUAUGGGAAGAGCUGUGGAUGACCUUUAAGGAAAGCCGAGUGAGAGAAGUGGGUGUGCUUUGACAGUAACAAAGAGUAGGAGACUAGACUUAGAGAUUGAGGUAGAAAAAAAUGACCUGAAAUAGUCUAUUUGAUAGAAUCAUGGAAUGGCGUAGGUUGGAGGGGACCUUAAAGAUCAUCAAGGUCCAACCCCCUGCCAUGGGUUGGUUGCUACCCACCAGAUCAGGCUGCCCAGGGCCCCAUCCAACUGGCCUUGAGCACCUCCAGGGAUGGGGGACCCACAGCUUGCCUAUUUGAACACAGUGUCCUUGAAAAGAACAACUGCAGUUGUACUGUAUCUCAGGUGAGAUGUUUCCAGUUGAGACAGGGAAGUGUUAAAUACCAUUGCACAGAGAGUAGCUGGGACAUCACCUGAGUAACUAUGAAGUUCUGGUCACCCAGAUUCAAGAAAGAUUAACUGAAAGUUGAAGAGGUGCAUCUCUAGAAAGGCAGCUAAAGUGCCUGUUUUGUUCAGAGGAGGAAAACAAGCAGAUCCAUAGGCUGCAUCUGUACUAAUUUACUGAAAUUACCUAGAUGGUUCUCCGACAGUGGGGUCCACCAGGAAGGAAUUGGGCAGCCUGGUCUGGUGGUUGGCAACCCUGCACAUAGCAGGGGGGUUGAAACUGGAUGAGCAUUGUGGUGCUUUUCAACCCAGGCCAUUCUGUGAUCCUAUGAUUCCAUGAUUUUAUGAUCCUAUGAUCCUAUGAUUCCAUGAUUCUAUGAUCCUAUGAUUCUAUGCCCUUCCAUUACAGGGCUUUGUGCAUCUUUGCCUUCAACAUGGUGACAUUCUCCCAGUAUUCCAGCGUGGACUAUUUUUAUGCUCUGCGUUACGUUGAUGUGACUGUAAAGAACCAUGUUCUCAAAGAACUCUGGGUUUAUACUGAGCUCAGAAGUCCUGUCUGAAAACUGGUUCUUUAGCUAGCAGGUAUGAUGCCAGUCUUCAUUUGAGGACUUCCGUCCAUGCCUUUUUCAUUGGUCUUUUCUUCUACACACAUGUUGGAAGCACAAAUCAUUUUUGAAGGGUGUGAAAUGCAGCAGCUUUACACUGUUCAGAAGCAAUACUUUGGUUUUACUGCAAACUUUAAUGUAGAUGGCUUGGAGCAACUAUUAGAGUUACAAGCAGAAUAAAUCAACCAGCCAAGUGUCUCUGGUUGCCCAAAUCUCAGAUUUCACAGCAAAAAAAAGCCAAUGUGUGGUGCCACGUGAGAGUGGGAUCCCCUACCUAAGGAAAGUGAUGUAAUCUGUGGAGCUACAAUAGCAAUAAUCUUCUUCGUCAUCCUGUUUCUGUGAGCACUAGCAAUGAAGCAUUAUUAUUUUUCACAACACACUGACUUUUACCAAAGAGUGGGAAUUUCUUCAUUAAUACUGGGGAUACUCCAUUGAUUUUAGAGAAAAGGCUCUUUAUACCUAUACAGAACGCGAGCCAGAAAUUAAAAUUAUAGUAAUUAACUCCAAAACAUAUUUUCCUGCUUAGAAAUCCCAUUCAAGUGCAUAAAUAUCAUUUGAGAAUUACAACACUUGCACAUUGCAUAUCUGCACAUCACAGAUGAUGUAUUCCUCCAAUGCAUGGCUCUACUCGUGCUACAGAUGAGCACAGUCUGAGCAGCCAGCUGGGUGGAUGGCCAGAGGAGAAGUGUCAUUUGGUGCAUCCAUGGAGCUCAACCAGCUGUCUGCCCCAAUGGUGAAAAGCAUCUCUUCCCUUUGCGACUUCUGGCGUGGAUCAGAGAGCCACUAGAACUGGAAAGAUACUGAAUUUCAGCUGGGACACACACAAGCUGCUAAUUGCAUCUCCGCUUCCUACUGCUGGUUGUGCAGGGUGUGGGGUUAAUUCACAGCACAGAGGGAUGAGACAGAGCAAGAAUUCCGUGAGAGAUGAUCUUCUAAAUCAUGACUGACUGCUCUGCAACAGUGAUUAAGGGCCCCAGGAAGAACCAGAGAGCCACUGCAGUAGGUACUGUAUGGACACACACAUUAUUUCUCCCCCCUGCACAUAAAUUUUAUAUAGCUGUGGGGCAGCAGACAUAACACACAUGUACACAGAUAUCUGUGUAUCCUAAGAUCAUCCUGGUUGCUUUUCUCAGAGCUAUUCAGUCUCAGUUGCACUCAUUUUGACUUCAGUCAAGCUCUGAUGAUGUACACAUUAAAAGUCCUUAUGGGACUACGGGAAGAAGGAGCAUUACCUACCACACUGCUCUACAAGUUGCACAGCACGACUGUCCUCCUUCUUUUGUAGCAGUUAUUCCUCCUCAUUUCAGCCUCGCAGCAUCAGGCAAGCCCUAAGCUUGAUCCAAUAUACUGAUUUCUUUUUUUCAAGUGUUCCCAGUUUAUAAUUGGGGGAGGGAGAGAAAAGAAGCAGUGAUGAUUAUCAUAUGCACCAUGUGCCUCAGCACAGGGAACAGCUGGAAUGGUGUGUGCAGUGGUACAACUUCUCAGUGCAACAUGUGCUUUGUCUGCCUCUUUCUGUACAAGUUUCUUUCUUCUGUUCACUUCUCCCUGCUUUGAUGAUUUUGUUUUCUUGUUUUCUUGCCAAUAUUGCUUGAGAUGUACGGUUUCCAGCUCUACUGCUCCUGGGCAGCCCUGCCAUAUGGGCUGCUCAGCAUUAUCAGUGUCUGGGUAAUGAAGAAAUUUUGCUUUGAGGUUAUGUGGCCAUAUGGGCUGCCUGAAGACAAGAAGCUUUAUUUCCAGCUCCAGAGCUGAUUCACAGCAUGACUUCUGUGUGGCCAAGGGUGCCACAGAUAAAUUUAGCUCUCUGCUGCAUGUCAAGGUUUCUAGUUCCUCCAGGCUUCAGAAACUGAGUAAAUGAGACUCUGGAAGAGCUGAUGGUCUACUGAAGGAUGAUGACACGAGUCUUAGGUUUGCAGAUGCACAAAAGGAGGGUUGAAAAUUCCCUGUUGUGUAUCUGGAGUUCCCAGGGCUUGGCUUGGGCCAGUCUUAGAAUCACAGAACAGUGGAACCAUUACAGUUGGAAACGACCACUAAGGUCAUCUAGUCCAACCAUCAACCCACCACUGCCACAAGUCUUCCUAGAGUCUUGGAUUUCCUGCAGUGAAAUAAAAGUACUGCAGCUUCUGCACUUCGAUUUUGUAGACAGUCAACUGCCAUGAGACUUCCCAAGCUGCUCUGUCCAUCUUUUCACUUUUGGGAAGCCCACGGGUCCCACUGGGUGAAAGCAAUACUGAUCCUGGGGCCAUCUGCGUGGCUGGGUUGCUCACAUCUCUGGGAUGUGAAAGCUGCAAGAGCUCCUGGUAGCUAAGAGCCUUUCCAAAACACCUAUGAGUGGGAAUGACACAAUGAUCUUUGGGUGAGGUGCCUUCAGGGCUACUUUGUAUGACAAAGAGGAGGGCUCAACGUGUACAUAAUGCCCACUAAUAGCAAAUACUUCUCAUGGUGUGCCUAACAACCUCUCCGAGAACAAGCUUUGUGUGUCUCAUUUCCCGGGUCACCAUUCUUUGAAUUUCACCUUCACCACAAGAAAACCUAAGCGAGAAUUUGUGGUUAUCAUUCACCAGAGUUGGGACAACACAGCAAGUCUUGGUACCUCCAUUCUACCUUGCGAAAUCUGUCUUCAUAUUUGGCUGCCCCAGCAAUGGAACACGAAGGCCAGUGCCAAGAGAAUACAUCAUUCCCACAACAUGUGGCUGCCAACGAGCCUGCAAGGCUGAGCUGAAGAGUUCAAAGCUUUAAGCUUGGACCAAGACGCCGUGCUGAGGUCGUGCAGUGCUGGCGGGAUGGCUAGGGAUGCAGUAACAAGGAAUCGUGACGUGAGCCAUCAUCGAGUGCUCUCCAGACAGUCACGGAGAUGCAGAUUUACCUCCUCCGUACCAAGGAUCAUUAUUUCUGUGUGGUAUUUUUAGACUGUAAGCACCCAGGAGAUUGUUAGAAGCAGGUAGGCUGUUCUGCAUUCCUACAGUCCCACAGAGGUUAGGCUGAGGAAGGAGUUUGUGGGGCAAGACUGAGUCAUCUGGAUAGAGUGCAGAAGGUUUGCUUUACACCUACACAGGACAUUGCCUUUUUUUUUUUUUUCUGUGUUCUUCAAUCUCCUGUGCUUUUUUAACAGUCUUUAUGAAAGAUCAAUGUAAAUGGAUAAAUAAAUAAAACUACCCUAUCCAUAUCAUUAGGGUCCAGGUUUAGACAUCAGCAGUGUCAGUAGCAGCACCUCAGCACCAGUCUGGAAAAGCUUUCCUUGUCCUAUGAGAUUCAUCCUCCUGCUGUAUAUUACCCAGCAUAUGUUCCAGCAGCUCUUCAGAAACAGGUUCAGGCUUUCUGGUGCAAGGGCCCCUAUCCAAACCAAAUAUACUGAGUGCAAGAGGCAAGCAGAUGAGUGCUAGAGGGCUAUGGUCUUUCCCACAUGUUCACUUGGACAGUUUAGACACACUUCUAAAAAACCACAGUCCC
This 7964-nucleotide long non-coding RNA is filed under the name Gallus gallus (chicken). Its description in RNAcentral is "lncRNA (ENSGALG00010003747.1)". Lineage: Eukaryota; Metazoa; Chordata; Aves; Galliformes; Phasianidae. The record is from RNAcentral.